AUCCAGUAUGUGAGCAAACUAGCUGUUCUAGAGAUGAGGUAUGUUAUUUACUCACACAGUAAUACACUAUCCCAAGAUCCAGAGGAAAUCAUAUGCAUGCGAUCUGAGACAAGAGAGAGGCAGAAAAGCAGCACUAUUACUUUGUCACUGGUGGGAAUCUCCACAGCAGGUGUUGUGCUAAAAGUGCAAGCUUAAGGGAUCAUCACUAUCAAGAUAAAAGUCACAGUAUGGAAAAUAUACCGAUGACGUGGCUGACUAGAAAAAAAAAAAUGACACCUUGUAGCUUUUUCUUUCUGUCUCUUAUCAUCAGAUAUCAUCAUCAUCUAUGUAUCUUAACAGCAGAUCUGAGGUUGGCUAAAACCUGUUGCCAUGAGCUCCGCUGAAUCCAUCAAAACUGUGGCUCAGAGGUAUUACACCGGCACAUAGCAUAGGAGAACUCCAUAACAAGUGUCGAGGAAAGGAGAAAGGGGAACUGUUAAAAUCAAUUGCCUCCUCUAAACUGAUAAGUGUAGGCUUCUUGUCACACACUACUGCCUACAGCAAGCCGCGAACAGCACAGAUGUUGACAACCAUGACAGGGAUUUCUGCAUACAAGCAACCACUCGAGGCUGAGCACUCUCUCUGUCUCUUUGCAUGUCCUAGAAAGACCCAGAAGAGCUCAGUGUUUCUCUGCUGUUAGUUACAUCCUCCAAGCACUUCCAAAGGCACGCUGCUCUGUAGAAAAAGCUGAGCUGCCCAGAAAGUUUGUGCAGGAAGAAGGCAGCAGUGUCAGUGCACGUCAUCCUGGGGGAUCUGAAAGCAUUUGUGAAGAGAACAGGGAAAGAAGAGGGAAGAGAGCAAAACCAACAGGCACUAGCACUGCUGCCCACAGGGGGCGGGGCUUGAGGCAGGGCCUGUGCCAGAGGGGGGCCUGGCACAGUUAGGGCCAGCUCAGGGCCCAGAGCAGAGGGGGAGCAGGCAGAGGCAGGGCCUUGGGGCCCAGGAUGGAGGAGGACCAGGCACAGCUGGGGCCAGCUCAGGGCCCAGAGCAGAGGGGGACCAGGCACAGCUGAGGCCACUGCAGGGCCCAGGUGGACAUCCACAGUGUCUUCCAAGUGACACCUGGAAGAGGUACAGACUGGAGGUACAGGACCCUCAAUCUCCGGUGAGUAACAGAGCCAAGGAGGCUUUGGGCUUGCAGGUCCUGAUUCCUGUGCUGUGCAGGCCACCGUGAGAGAAAUAGAUAUCUGGCUGGCCGCA
Molecule: long non-coding RNA, 1239 nt
Filed under: Coturnix japonica (Japanese quail)
Lineage: Eukaryota; Metazoa; Chordata; Aves; Galliformes; Phasianidae
Description: lncRNA (ENSCJPG00005002429.1)
Source: RNAcentral